AGAUGUGAAGCCAGCACAUCUCCUGUUUCUUCUCACCACAGGUGGAGGUGCUUAGAAAAGCCCUGGGUUAUCACCAGGAGAGGCUUGGAAUAACCCAGGACAGAAGUUUAACAUCUUUCUUCUCUUGGCCAUGAUGCAGCUUGUGGCUGGGGAAGUGUGCUGAGACCUCUCAGCUGGAGGGGGAUGUUUUUGGAGACCUCCUGAACCUCAACAACUCUGCCCAGAGACGUGGAGGCUGGUAAGAGAAGCCAAAAAGUGUGGGAACAUGAAAGCUGCCUUCCUCCUGGUCUCCUCCUGAUUGUCCUUUGUGUGGUGUUGCAUCUUAUGAAGCUUUCAAGGAAGUCACCUUGCUGAGACCUGGAUUUCUGACAGAGGAGAAAAAAAUUGAAG
Molecule: long non-coding RNA, 390 nt
Organism: Melospiza melodia melodia
Lineage: Eukaryota; Metazoa; Chordata; Aves; Passeriformes; Passerellidae
Exons: 3
Source: RefSeq, a predicted model, not a curated record